Lolium perenne is the source of this 402-nucleotide non-coding RNA. Lineage: Eukaryota; Viridiplantae; Streptophyta; Magnoliopsida; Poales; Poaceae. The record is from RefSeq and is a predicted model, not a curated record.
CCGCGGGACAGUAUACCGGCGAGCGACUGCGCACCAGUGAGAAAGCCCGUACGUAAAACUCGUCGUAGAUUUCAGCUCGUACACCACUUCGCGGACGCCAAGAACCGCUGCAACGCGACUCCAUCCACGAACAAGUGCAACGCCAGCAUCAACGAAGUUCUUUUUCCUGUUUUUCAGACGAUGAGUAAGGAAACGUUAGGGGUUACGAGUCUAUCCUCAACAUGCUCGCCUGUGGCACAUGAAGACGAAGGACUCCAUGCUAUCUAUGUUUAUUCGUUGUGAAACUCUGAUGAUAUGCUAGCCUUGUGCUAUGCAAUUUGUAAUUUUUUAUGUAAAUUCUGGAUCAUACGAUGUAAUAAAGACCUUUGUUUCUUGGUAUUACAUCUUGUACUGUGUGUGCUA